RNAcentral lists this ribosomal RNA (253 nucleotides) under uncultured bacterium. RNAcentral describes it as "partial 16S ribosomal RNA". It matches the Rfam family "Bacterial small subunit ribosomal RNA", at positions 524 to 776 of the family's 1533-position model. The record is from RNAcentral.
UACGUAGGGGGCAAGCGUUGUCCGGAUUUAUUGGGCGUAAAGAGCGUGUAGGCGGCUUUACAGGUCCGUUGUGAAAACUCGAGGCUCAACCUCGAGACUCCGGUGGAAACCGUAAAGCUAGAGUCCGGAAGAGGAGAGUGGAAUUCCUGGUGUAGCGGUGAAAUGCGCAGAUAUCAGGAGGAACACCCGUGGCGAAAGCGGCUCUCUGGGACGGUACUGACGCUGAGACGCGAAAGCGUGGGGAGCAAACAGG